Molecule: small RNA, 109 nt
Filed under: Salmonella enterica subsp. enterica serovar Typhimurium
Lineage: Bacteria; Pseudomonadati; Pseudomonadota; Gammaproteobacteria; Enterobacterales; Enterobacteriaceae
Description: partial RtT sRNA
Rfam family: RtT RNA
About the family: This family represents a bacterial cis-regulatory element known as RtT RNA.
Source: RNAcentral
GUUUGCACUUGUCGGGGAAGGGUGAGAACCUUCGAUUAAGGUUCGACUCGAGCGAAAGAACGUUGCCAACGGUAACGGCCCGUAGGGUGAGGAGUGAAGCGACGAAUAA